This 783-nucleotide ribosomal RNA is filed under the name uncultured bacterium. RNAcentral's name for it is "SSU rRNA". It matches the Rfam family "Bacterial small subunit ribosomal RNA", at positions 70 to 853 of the family's 1533-position model. The record is from RNAcentral.
CACAGUGUAGCAAUACAUGGGUGACGACCGGCAAACGGGUGCGGAACACGUACGCAACCUUCCUUCAGGCGGGGAAUAGCCCAGAGAAAUUGGAUUAAUACCCCAUAAUAUUUUGAGAUGGCAUCAUCUUAUUAUUAAAGCUACGGCACCUGGAGAUGGGCGUGCGGCUGAUUAGGUAGUUGGCGGGGUAAUGGCCCACCAAGCCUACGAUCAGUAGCUGAUGUGAGAGCAUGAUCAGCCACACGGGCACUGAGACACGGGCCCGACUCCUACGGGAGGCAGCAGUAAGGAAUAUUGGUCAAUGGACGCAAGUCUGAACCAGCCAUGCCGCGUGGAGGAUGAAGGUCCUCUGGAUUGUAAACUUCUUUUAUCUGGGACGAAAAAAGGGUUUUCUAACUCGUCUGACGGUACCAGAUGAAUAAGCACCGGCUAACUCCGUGCCAGCAGCCGCGGUAAUACGGAGGGUGCAAGCGUUAUCCGGAUUCACUGGGUUUAAAGGGUGCGUAGGCGGGCAUUUAAGUCAGUGGUGAAAUACCUGAGCUUAACUUGGGAACUGCCAUUGAUACUAUUUGUCUUGAAUGUCGUGGAGGUUAGCGGAAUAUGUCAUGUAGCGGUGAAAUGCUUAGAUAUGACAUAGAACACCUAUUGCGAAGGCAGCUAACUACGCGAAUAUUGACGCUGAGGCACGAAAGCGUGGGGAUCAAACAGGAUUAGAUACCCUGGUAGUCCACGCCCUAAACGAUGAUUACUCGACAUUAGCGAUACACUGUUAGUGUCUGAGCG